CUUGGAUCUCAUUUAUGUGAAACAUCAAGAAUAAGCAGGGCUGGGGAUUUAGCUCAGUGGUUCUGGCGCCUGCCUUGAAAGUGCAAGGUCCCGAGUUCAAUCCCUGGUACUUAAAAAAAAUUAAAAAAAAAAAGAAUAAGCAAAUAAUGUACCAACAGAAGGCAAGUUAAUGGUUGCCAGAGUAUAGCAGGGAGGGAGAAAUGAAGAAUGAUUGCUUAACAGGUAUGUGAUUUUCUUUUGAUGAAAAUAUUCUGCAACUAGACAAUGGCAUUGAAUGCACAAUGCCGUGAAUGUCCUAUGUGUCACUAAGGCUGAAGAAAAUCUAGGGUUCAUCCUAGAAAAGGAACCACUUCUGAACCAAGCCACCUUGGACAGGGAUACAUUCAAGGUCAGCAUGAUGAAUAGGCAGAGAAAGAGGUCAAACAGCCCUCUCAAGCCAGAAGAGUUGGUCAACGGCCUUGUUCAAAGAGAAUUUCUCCACUUUGGGGGUGCUGAAGGGAGGAGGGAAGAUUUGGAAUGCAACAGGUUUCUCUCUGUUGCCCAGGCUGGCUUUGAACCCCUACACACAAGCAAUCCUCCUGCCUCAGCCUCCUGAGUAGCUUGGACUGUUGGUACAUGGCACUGCACCUGGCUUAUAUUUUAUAACUUACAAAUAAAUUUUACUUGUAAAACAAUAUACAUGUCUGGCAUUCAAAAAUGGCUACAGUUGCCGGGGAUUUAGCUCAGUGGUUUUGCCGCCUGCUGCGCAAGCUCAAGGACCCGAGUUCAAUCCCUGGUACCAAAAAAAAAAAAAAUGGCUACAGUUAUAAAAUCAGAAGCCAUGAGCAGAAUCAGAGGAGGUGUUGGAAUUUCAAAAUCUUUAUGAAUAAUAUAUUUGAAGUAUGUCCAAAAAAAGAACAGAAGAGGCAAUAUAGAUAAUAUGAAGUUAGAAAGGUAUCCUAGG
This 943-nucleotide long non-coding RNA is filed under the name Heterocephalus glaber (naked mole-rat). RNAcentral describes it as "lncRNA (ENSHGLG00100045826.1)". Lineage: Eukaryota; Metazoa; Chordata; Mammalia; Rodentia; Bathyergidae. The record is from RNAcentral.